Long non-coding RNA from Olea europaea var. sylvestris, 1742 nucleotides. RefSeq lists it as uncharacterized. The record is from RefSeq and is a predicted model, not a curated record. The transcript has 5 exons. NCBI's taxonomy places the organism in Eukaryota, Viridiplantae, Streptophyta, Magnoliopsida, Lamiales, Oleaceae.
GGGUCUUUGGAUCCUCAGGUCCUUCCACAACUAGUUCUUCUACAGUUCAAGUGAAAGGCGCUCUCUUCUCUCAACAAUUAAAUGAAACCCUAAGUCACUCCUAAAAAUCAGAAGAUCCUCAAAUCUGAAAAUCGACGAAUAGAACGAUAAUGCAGAGAUAAAGUUGAUGUUGUGGCUGGUCGAUCUUCUUCCUUCAAAUAUGCAUAAUCCAACGAAAGAAAAUGUUGAUUUCAACUUCGAGCUUGGACUUGUGAGUGGCGAACAAUCUUCAACCUUCGACCUUCGAGAGGUGGAGGUUGAUUGGGGAGAGAUUCUGUAUAGACAGCUGAUUGGUGGAAUCGACGACUGGUGCCUUUUGCUGUCGGGUGAUUUUUUUCGAACUAAUUAGUUCUUAUAGUUGAUUCUUGGUGCGCUUGUGUAAAAAAUUUGAAUCUUCUUUUCUCGUUCAAAUGUAUUUUGCCUGAAGUGUAUAGCCAAACAAACCCUUAGAAUAAGGCUUCAAGGGAUGGAGAGAUUUGGACCGAACCGGCGUCUUUCGGAGUGUUCGUACUUUUCAAGCCUUCUUUUUCUCGAGAUGGGAGCUGUGGAAAGAAUGAGAUUUGAAGAGGUCCAUAAUAUUUUUGACACGAUAUGGCGAAGGGUUUCGCUAGAGACACAUUUGAAAAGAUCCCAAGGAUUACAAUUUGUAAAGAUGAAAAUGUUGAUGAUUAUGGGCGAGACUCUCAUCUUCAGUUGUCUUCGGUUAGCCCUUAUCUUGGGCUGAUCAGAAUGUGCAGCAAGAGUACAUUCGAGGAAUCAAUUCCUCGAAUUUCAAUCACGAUAAACUGAAGAAAUAAGCUACUCUUGUAUGCUAUCAGUCCAUUGAUCUGUUGGUAAUAUGGAUUGCAUCAUUUGAACGCCACUUUAAUAAGUUGAGGUUUUCUCUGCAGAUUCAGGAUGAUGAUCUUCCUAAUUCAAAAAAUUCAAGUGUGAGUUGAAAGUAUAGGAAUGGGCAAGAUGACGCUGAUGCUCCUCCAGAGGGAAUGCCUACCGAUCAGGGCAUUCAUUCAAAUGUUGCACAAUAGCUGGAGGAUGGGCUCAACGAUAUUCAUGAUCUAGAGAAUUCGUUUGCUGCAUUUCUUGUGAAACCUCUUCGGGCACUAAAGUAUGGCGCAUCUGGUUUGGACAAGCUAGAAAGGCAAAGCACAUUUUGUUUUGGACUUAAAAUCAGAUCAUCCUGCAAUGCAAUGGGAAUAUUUUCAUUGAUAUUUUGCACCUUUGUAAAUUACAUUUUUUAGUAUAUUGGUAUAUACUUAGCUCGUUGCUCGUUACUUUUAGGAAACAAUGCUAAUGCACAAGGAGUUGGUGCAUACUAGUGGCCUUAACAAACUUUUAGUGGAACUUCAAAUCAAAGUAGUUAUCGACUUGAAUGAGAGGAAGGAAUUAUGGACUUUGUCACGAUUGCAAAAGCAACACUCAAAACUUUGGACAAUGUCAAACAAAACGUCGAUGCCCUUUGUAUAAAUAGAACAUCGAAAAUAUUUUUCCCAAUGCACCUGACUUUCCACAGAGUAAAAGGAAUCGCAAAGUUUGAUGGUAAAUGAAAGGGUUCGACACGAACGGGUGAUUUGAGUUAUAUUUGUGGUAGAUAGACUACUAUGAUUUCAAUUUGAAUUUUCUAUAUAGGUUAUUGUAACAUACGAAUGGUUAGGUCAUUGUAGGUUAUAGGAAGUAUGGUUAAUUUUGUCAAAAUUGUUUGAUAA